UGGCGGACGGGUGAGUAACGCGUGGGGAACCUGCCCUGUACAGGGGGAUAACACUUAGAAAUAGGUGCUAAUACCGCAUAAGCGCACAGUAUCGCAUGAUACAGUGUGAAAAACUCCGGUGGUACAGGAUGGACCCGCGUCUGAUUAGCUGGUUGGCGGGGUAACGGCCCACCAAGGCGACGAUCAGUAGCCGGCCUGAGAGGGUGGACGGCCACAUUGGGACUGAGACACGGCCCAAACUCCUACGGGAGGCAGCAG
This 258-nucleotide ribosomal RNA is filed under the name uncultured bacterium. RNAcentral describes it as "partial 16S ribosomal RNA". It matches the Rfam family "Bacterial small subunit ribosomal RNA", at positions 96 to 354 of the family's 1533-position model. The record is from RNAcentral.